CGUAGGUGGCAAGCGUUAUCCGGAUUUACUGGGUGUAAAGGGCGUGUAGGCGGGAAAGCAAGUCAGAUGUGAAAACCACGGGCUCAACCUGUGGCCUGCAUUUGAAACUGUUUUUCUUGAGUACUGGAGAGGCAGACGGAAUUCCUAGUGUAGCGGUGAAAUGCGUAGAUAUUAGGAGGAACACCAGUGGCGAAGGCGGUCUGCUGGACAGCAACUGACGCUGAGGCGCGAAAGCGUGGGGAGCAAA
Molecule: ribosomal RNA, 247 nt
Filed under: uncultured bacterium
Lineage: Bacteria
Description: partial 16S ribosomal RNA
Rfam family: Bacterial small subunit ribosomal RNA
Source: RNAcentral